Molecule: ribosomal RNA, 337 nt
Filed under: uncultured Acidobacteriota bacterium
Lineage: Bacteria; Pseudomonadati; Acidobacteriota
Description: bacterial SSU rRNA
Rfam family: Bacterial small subunit ribosomal RNA
Source: RNAcentral
AAUCAACGCUGGCGGCGUGCCUAACACAUGCAAGUCGAACGCGAAAGGGGAGCAAUCCCUGAGUAGAGUGGCAAACGGGUGAGUAACGCGUGGGUGACCUGCCCUCGAGUGGGGGAUAACGUCCCGAAAGGGGCGCUAAUACCGCAUAACAUCCCGGGAUUGAACGCCUGGAGAUCGAAGCUGGGGAUCGCAAGACCUGGCGCUCGAGGAGGGGCCUACGUCCGAUUAGCUAGUUGGUGGGGUAAAAGCCUACCAAGGCGACGAUCGGUAGCCGGCCUGACGAGGGCGGACGGCCACACUGGGACUGAGACACGGCCCAGACUCCUACGGGAGGCAG